CCUACGGGGGGCAGCAGUGAGGAAUAUUGGUCAAUGGGCGGAAGCCUGACCCAGCAACGUCGCGUGCAGGAUGACGGCCCUCCGGGUUGUAAACUGCUUUUAUACGGGAAUAACGCGCCUUACGUGUAGGGCUUUGCAUGUACCGUCUGAAUAAGAACAGGCUAAUUCCGUGCCAGCAGCCGCGGUAAUACGGAGGGUCCGGGCGUUAUCCGGAUUUAUUGGGUGUAAAGGGAGCGUAGGCCGGAUGUCAAGCGUGCUGUGAAAUGUUCGGGCUCAACCCGGGCCUUGCAGCGCGAACUGGCGUGCUUGAGUGCGCGGAAGGCAGGCGGAAUUCGGCGUGUAGCGGUGAAAUGCUUAGAUAUGACGAAGAACCCCGAUGGCGAAGGCAGCUUGCUGCAGCGGAACUGACGCUGAUGCGCGAAAGCGCGGGUAGCGAACAGGAUUAGAUACCCGAGUAGUC
Molecule: ribosomal RNA, 460 nt
Filed under: uncultured bacterium
Lineage: Bacteria
Description: partial 16S ribosomal RNA
Rfam family: Bacterial small subunit ribosomal RNA
Source: RNAcentral